RNAcentral lists this ribosomal RNA (450 nucleotides) under uncultured bacterium. Its description in RNAcentral is "bacterial SSU rRNA". It matches the Rfam family "Bacterial small subunit ribosomal RNA", at positions 29 to 524 of the family's 1533-position model. The record is from RNAcentral.
AACGAACGCUGGCGGCAUGCCUAACACAUACAAGUCGAACGAAGUCUUCGGACUUAGUGGCGCACGGGUGCGUAACGCGUGGGAAUCUGCCCUUGGGUGCGGAAUAACUUCUCGAAAGGGAUGCUAAUACCGCAUAAUGUCGUAAGACCAAAGAUUUAUCGCCCAAGGAUGAGCCCGCGUAAGAUUAGCUAGUUGGUGGGGUAAAAGCCUACCAAGGCGACGAUCUUUAGCUGGUCUGAGAGGAUGAUCAGCCACACUGGGACUGAGACACGGCCCAGACUCCUACGGGAGGCAGCAGUGGGGAAUAUUGGACAAUGGGGCGAAAGCCUGAUCCAGCAAUGCCGCGUGAGUGAUGAAGGCCCUAGGGUUGUAAAGCUCUUUUACCAGGGAUGAUAAUGACAGUACCUGGAGAAUAAGCUCCGGCUAACUCCGUGCCAGCAGCCGCGUAAU